RNAcentral lists this ribosomal RNA (497 nucleotides) under uncultured bacterium. RNAcentral's name for it is "partial 16S ribosomal RNA". It matches the Rfam family "Bacterial small subunit ribosomal RNA", at positions 28 to 507 of the family's 1533-position model. The record is from RNAcentral.
GGUGAACGCUGGCGGCGUGCCUAAUACAUGCAAGUCGAGCGAACAGAUAAGGAGCUUGCUCCUUUGACGUUAGCGGCGGACGGGUGAGUAACACGUGGGUAACCUACCUAUAAGACUGGGAUAACUUCGGGAAACCGGAGCUAAUACCGGAUAACAUUUGGAACCGCAUGGUUCUAAAGUGAAAGAUGGUUUUGCUAUCACUUAUAGAUGGACCCGCGCCGUAUUAGCUAGUUGGUAAGGUAACGGCUUACCAAGGCAACGAUACGUAGCCGACCUGAGAGGGUGAUCGGCCACACUGGAACUGAGACACGGUCCAGACUCCUACGGGAGGCAGCAGUAGGGAAUCUUCCGCAAUGGGCGAAAGCCUGACGGAGCAACGCCGCGUGAGUGAUGAAGGGUUUCGGCUCGUAAAACUCUGUUAUUAGGGAAGAACAAACGUGUAAGUAACUGUGCACGUCUUGACGGUACCUAAUCAGAAAGCCACGGCUAACUACGUG